Molecule: long non-coding RNA, 6018 nt
Organism: Marmota monax (woodchuck)
Lineage: Eukaryota; Metazoa; Chordata; Mammalia; Rodentia; Sciuridae
Exons: 5
Source: RefSeq, a predicted model, not a curated record
CAGCUUCCUUCUCCAUUGCUGCAGCUAUCAGAAGAAUCAAUAUUUCUGUUCCUUCCAUGGAAAUUCUACUCAUCUCUGCCUCUUCUACAAAAGGGCAAAAAAUAACAGAAAAUGGUAAUCAGCAUGCAUUUAGGUCAUCAGUGAAAACAAAAAGAAUACAUAAUCCACCUGCCUUGAUUUGGGACCAUGUAAAUUACAUCAGCGGCAGUCAUAGAAUUUGUCAGGCUACCAGAAAUCAUCCCUCAGGACCAUAAUCCAGUUCUCGGCGGACACAACAUCUUUGUUGGUAUGUGGUGCUGAGUAUCGAACCCGGGCCGCACGCAUGCCAGGCGAGCGCGCUACCGCUUGAGCCACAUCCCCAGCCCGGCUGCUGUGGUACUUUUAAAUCACUAGUCUGACUUGGCUCUCUCAUGCUUAUGACCCUCAGUGGCUCUUCAUUGCCUCAGACAAAAUGAUAGAAUACAAAUUUCUUGACAAAACCCAGAAGGUAAUUGACAUUCUGCCUAAGUUUCCCUCUCCAGAACAUGUCACCUUCCUCCCUUGCAGUGGUUGACACUCAUAAAAACUAUAUACUCUUUUUCUCAACUCCAGACCUUUAAAUAUACAGCUCUUUCUCCAAGAAAUCUUCCAUUACUUUUUUGCCCACUCUCCUAUCUUCCUAAAAAUAACCUUUACCAUUUCUGUGAAAGAUAUGUCAACAAAAUGGAGACAGAGAAUAUAUUUUGAGUCACAUAUAAGGAUAUUUAAACAUAUUAUUUCUAUCACAAAGACCUUGGAAAUAACAGAAUCCAAUGGGAAAAAAUUCAAAUCUAAUAUAAAUUCAUUAAAUGAAUCUUCCAAAUACUCAUUAUUGUCAUAUGGAUUUAUAUCAAAUGAUUUGUCUUACUGUGUGAUUUUUUUAAUUAAGGCUAAUUCUAUAGACUCAAUGUAAGUGGAAGACUUCAGCAAUCAUCUGAUUAUUUCAGGAAAAAUAGUUAUUUCUUGAAAACAUCUAGUUAAUGAUGGCAAAAUAUUGGGUUUAUUUGUUGCAUUAAGUAAUUGUCUUACUUUCUUUUCUUAUUUAAUAUCUGUAGAUAUAGGAUCAUAGUUUUUCAUAAAGCUCAAAAGUUUUCUAUCUUAAAUAUGAGGACACCGAGGCACCCCAUAUCUGACUAAUUGAUGACCUAUUUGGCAAGGCUUCUGAAAUAUUCAAGGCUUUUGACUGUGAGGGUUGGGGUAAUAAAAAUAUUCUGGAAUUUAUCAUGAUAAUUGCAUAACUUUGUCAAUAUAAAUAUAAAUAUGACAGAAUUGUACAGUUAUAAUGAUGAAUUUUAUGGCUUGUGAAUUACAUCUCAAUAUAAAAUAAAAAGGUAUUGAUUUAGGGAAGGGGGGGGGGAAUGCUGGGGAGUGAUACUGGCCAGAUUAUAUUGUUAUAUUGUGUGGAUGUAUGAAUAUGUAACAACAAAUUCCAUCAUUAUGAACAACUAUAAUGCACCAAUAAAUAUGUGUAAAAAUGGAGAAAACUAUGUUAUAUGCAUUUAUGAAUGACAAAUUAUACUGCAAUAUCAUGCAUAGCUACAAUGCACUAAAAACAAAAAUAAAUAAAUAAAUAACUAUUGAUGUAGAAGGUAGUAAGUUGUAAAUAAAUAAUCUAAAUGGUUACUGUUAUUAUAAACAUUUUAUAGUUUUGUACUGUAAAAGUGAAAACAUUUGAAUUAAUACUAAAAAUGAAAAUGCUCUCUGGCAACAACUUUAGUAGUUACAUUUCAGCAGGCUCUGUAUUAUUUGCUAUAAUAUUAUAAUCUAUUUUCAAGUUUGGAUUUUUAAAUUAUAUCUGGUCUUCAAAAAUGGAUACUGGAAGGAAAAGUUUGCACAAAACCUUAUUAUAACUGUUUUUUUUCACUCACAGAUAGAUAUUAGCCAGUCCUCCUUAUCCUAAACUUUUUCUCUUAUCGUGCCUUUCAGCCAUUGAGAAUUGCUUAUUUGAAAAGAAAAGGAUUUUGUGCUAUCUCCCUUAAUUUUCUCUUCUCUUUGGAAUAGUAAAUUUUUAAAAAUGGAUUUUUUUUGCUACACAAUGUUGAGCACACUCAUUUCUGCUAUGUUUCACAGCCGCAUGAAAUCUCCAGUCACUUACAAAAGACAAAGGGCCUUUGGCUGUGACUCUGUGUUAAGCAUCCCUACUGUCACCAGGAAAAACUUAGCUCUCCUUAUCCUUGAGAGUAACAACCUUUGGAGGGUGGAGCCACAAAUAAGAAUUCUAUUACAAUAACAUUUUUUCUUUCAUAACAUGGCAUUGAACUUAAAAUACACAGAACAGGGAAGAUGACAGUAUUUGUGAAACUCAACAAAUAUUCUCAUUGAGAGAUCAAGGAAUUAGGAUAGCAAAACAAAUAAAAGCAAGCAAAGAAAAUCCAACAACAACACUGACUACAUCCAAAACAAAACUAAGUGGCAAAGUGCGCUCUUGCACCCCUAUCCCCUAAACCUACUGCAGAGCAUCCUUUGUUGAUCCUGGAGACCAUGUAGCUGACUGGGGGCUGUAGCUCACGGCAGCUACAGCCUUCUGGGUUUGUGUUUGAAGUUUUCCACGAUGUAAAAGUUUAAAAUAAUAUAAAAUAUAGUAAAAUACUUUAAGGAAAAAAUGGAAUAUGAAAGAGAAAUUAAUAAAUAUCUUGUUUCUGAGUGCUGUAAUAAGACUUGGCUUUAUGUAAAUUGCUGCUAAAGAUAUGCAAUAUAUAAAUUCACUAAAAUGAGUAGUUGGAACACUCAUUUAUGAAUAAGUGAAAAUUCAUUUAUCCAUUGUUUUACACAAAUAUUGCUGGUGUUUGCUUGGAGUCUGGAAAACUGGAUUCUAUUGUUUUAUCUCCCCUGAAUAUCUAUAUAAACCUGGGUGAACUACCAACUGCUGUGUGCUAUUAAUAUAACUGUGAGGAGUGGGGGGCUAGAAAACCAUCAGACCUCUGGUUUAGAGAAAAUAGUCUUAUUUUUAUUCCAUCCCACUUAAAAAAAAAACCUGAAGGAAAACUAAGGAAAAUUGAGUUAGCAACCAGUUAGUUGCACACUUCUUAAAAGCAGAAAUUACAACAAACUUAUUCAGUACUUUGUUCUCAGUUCAUUUUUUAUAAUUAAUUAUGCAAACUUAAGGGAUAUGGUGUCAUAAUUUUAUUCAUGUAUACAACGUGUAAAAAUCAAAUCAGGGUAUUAACAUUUCCCUUUCCUUAAACAUUUAAGCAAUUUUUAAAGGGUAAUAAUUGUACAUAUUUGUAUGAUACAGUGUGAUAUUUCAAUACACGGAUACAAUAUGUACUGAUAAAAUCAGGGUAAUUAACAUUCUCAUCUCUUUAUCAUUUCUUUGUGUUUGGAGACUUCAAGCUCUUCUAGUUAUUUAUAAAAUAUAUUAUAUUCCCAAUUCUUAUUACAAUACUUGGUACCCUGAAAAUGUGGAAGGAUGAUGGAUAGGAGGAUGGAUGAAAUAAAUGAAUGAAUUUUAUGUAAGCAAAUUCGAUGUAUGUAUAAGUUAAUUUCAAUAUUGUCAUUUUAGACUACAAAUAUUUAUAUCUAAGUUUUGGUAAUUUGCAGGGGGUCUACAGUUCUAUUUCUUUUCUGUCUAGACUAGUGGUUUUUAAAUGGAGCAUACAUAGAAUUGCCUGGAAGUUUCCUUGAUGGAUUGCUGAACUCCAUCCCCAAUUCUUGAAUUUCCUUUUCAAACAAGCUCCCAGUUUGUCCUUAAUGCUGUUGAUCUGAGGAACAAAGUUUAAAUUGUAUUAAUAAAGCCAGAUAUUCUCACAAACCAUUCCAUUAAAAUUAUUGGGAAACUUUUAAAAUAUUAAGAUUUCUGUAACUCCUCUUACACCUGCAUCACAAUUUCUGAAGAUGAAUCUCAGAAAUGUACAUUUUAAGAAACUCCUUGAGUUAUUUUUAGGUACACACAAUAAAGUUCGAGAAUACCUGGAUUAGUUGCUGUCCAAUAGAACUCUGCAGUAAUGGAUGUGGCCCAUAUUUGCAUGGUCUACCGUGGAAGCAAUUAGCCACAGUGACUAUGAAGACAUGAAAUGAAGUGGCUAUUGUGACUGGGGAACUGAAUUUUAAUUUUACUUUUAUUUUAUGUAACUUAAACAUGGAAACUUUCAUUUAAAUUACCACUUGGUGCAAAUGUUAGAAAAAGGCUUAGAUUUUCAAACUUUUUUUUUUUGAAAGUAGAGUUUUCUUCAGUGGUAGCAGAAGGGGAGACCAAGAGUAUGGUGUUCUUAGUAUCCCACUCCCCAGUCAGAGAAACCCCUCUCUGAUUUUUUGGGCUUUCAGUUGUUAUAUUUUUGGGGCUUUCAGUCCUGAUAAUUGAAGUCCAUGUCCAUUCUGAAAUAGCCAUAAAUCUGUGAAAGAAUCAAGUGCUCUGACACGUUUUCAAAUGAAUGGCUCAUACUUAGCUUGACGAAGUUAUUAUUUGUCUGCCAAGCAGUCAUAGUUUGAGUGUACCUUAAUGUCAUCUUCUCAAUGGAUUCCCAACAUACUCACCAAGUUACUACCUCAUUAAUUGUCAUAAUGACUUCAUAAACAGAAAAAAGGCUUUGGGUCAUUAUCCCCAUUUCACUUGCAGGAAUACUGACUUGAAGGAAGUAGGUGCUUGCCAAACCCUCCCCAAGCAACUCCCCAAUGGAAUGUUAUUUUUCACAUACUUGUCAUUCUCCAUGAAUAAGUAUUUAAGGUUCUUAUACUUGAGGAUACCUUGAUGCUAUUUUAAAAAGCAAUUUGCAGGCUGGGAUUGUUGCUCAGUGAUAGAGUGCUUGCCUAGCAUGUGUGAGGCACUGGGUUUGAUCCUCAGUACCACAUAAAAAUGAAAAAUAAAAUAAAGGCAUUAUGUUUAUCUACAACUCAAAAAAAUAAAAAUAAAAAUAAAGCAAUUUGCUCUCUGUAGCACCUAACUACCCAGAAGGAUGGCACUUGGGCCCUGGAAGAAAUGGGGCAAACCCAAACUAGACUCAGACAUCUUAGAAUUAUAGGCUGUAUUCCUAGGCCUCUGAGGUUUCAUGGCACAGCCCAUGGGCUACAAAAAUAAAUUAUCAUGGAGAGAUGUCUGAACUAAUUACAUUUCUUUUUCUCCAAAUCACAGUAGGAGUAGGAAGAAUAUUUUGGGGUGGAGUAAGAAACAGGAGAUUGGAGAUAGGGUAAUAAGAAUCUCUCUCCAAAUGACAAUUUUCAGGUCUUCCCCAGGUGAUUUAGUUUUAUAGCAAGAUUUAUGGGGCACCAUCCUCAACUAGAUAGAUUGAGACAAGACCAUAGGCCAUGGCAAAAUCAAAGGCAUGAAAUAGUAAUUAGCUACAAGUAGCCCAAGGAGACUCUAAAAUGCUGUCAAAGUCCAAAAUUUGCAAAUCCAGCUGUAACUUCACUUUGCUUUACACAAUGUAAUUUGAGUUACCUACACGAAGCCUAAAGGAAUGUAAAGCAAACAUGUCCUGGAUGAGUUUACUCUGCUAGGAGGUGGGAAACCCAUGCUGGCCCCUUAGUUUUCUCCAAACCAUAGCUUUCUCUCCUUAAGAGGUGAGGUGAAGGGAUUCUGGUGGAUAUAGAGGGGUGGAAAAGGAAGGAGAGGGAGUUGAGUGCAUAAAAUUGGGAUGGCACUCGCUGUGUUUAAAAUAGAGAAUACCUCCAGAAAAGAGGCCCUGGGUAGACUUUAUAUACUCAAUAGACUUUAAGUGCCUGAGGACACGGUACAAACUUGUAUCACGUUACCAGACAGGCCCCCUCACGGCAUCAGUGUCGGCAGAGGCUCAUGAAUAUGUAAAUAUUAUAUGUAUCUUGGAAACAUGCUUGACAAGAGAAUAGCUGAAAUGAACUGAUUCUAGUUAUAAGCCCAUCAGCCUGCCAUUCUUUAUGUUUGAACAGGCAGGCUAUUGCUAGGUGACAGAUCAUUAAGGCUAUCUACUCAGUCAGCGGAAAUGAAGAAAUAAUUUGUUCCUAAUAACCUUCAGAUGACCUCCCAAGCAAAAGGGAGUCUUUAAAGUGCUGUCUCUGCCGAUACAUGUCAGGCGGGCGGGUGGGGUU